UCCUGGUUAGCUCAGUUGGUAAAGUGCUCCACUAAAAAUGCAGAGGUCCUUGGUUCAAUACCAGGACCAGGCG
Non-coding RNA from Ixodes scapularis (black-legged tick), 73 nucleotides. Lineage: Eukaryota; Metazoa; Arthropoda; Arachnida; Ixodida; Ixodidae. The record is from Rfam.